This 253-nucleotide ribosomal RNA is filed under the name uncultured bacterium. RNAcentral's name for it is "partial 16S ribosomal RNA". It matches the Rfam family "Bacterial small subunit ribosomal RNA", at positions 524 to 776 of the family's 1533-position model. The record is from RNAcentral.
UACGUAGGGUGCGAGCGUUAAUCGGAAUUACUGGGCGUAAAGUGUGCGCAGGCGGCCGCGCAAGUCGGGUGUGAAAUCCCCGAGCUUAACUUGGGAAUUGCGCUCGAAACUACGUGGCUCGAGUGUGGCAGAGGAAGGUGGAAUUCCACGUGUAGCGGUGAAAUGCGUAGAGAUGUGGAGGAACACCGAUGGCGAAGGCAGCCGUCUGGGCCAACACUGACGCUCAUGCACGAAAGCGUGGGGAGCAAACAGG